Molecule: ribosomal RNA, 107 nt
Filed under: Bacteroides thetaiotaomicron
Lineage: Bacteria; Pseudomonadati; Bacteroidota; Bacteroidia; Bacteroidales; Bacteroidaceae
Also listed under: 1 other name
Source: RNAcentral
GUGGUUAUAGCACGAGGGUUCCACCUCUUCCCAUUCCGAACAGAGAAGUUAAGCCUCGUCACGCCGAUGGUACUGCGUAACAGUGGGAGAGUAGGUAGCCGCCGUUU